Molecule: ribosomal RNA, 325 nt
Filed under: uncultured eukaryote
Lineage: Eukaryota
Description: partial 18S ribosomal RNA
Rfam family: Eukaryotic small subunit ribosomal RNA
Source: RNAcentral
CCCUUAGAUGUUCUGGGCUGCACGCGCGCUACACUGAAGCGUUCAACGAGUAUUCACCUUGCCCGGGAGGGUUGGGUAAUCUUUUGAAAACGCUUCGUGAUGGGGAUAGAUUAUUGCAAUUAUUAAUCUUCAACGAGGAAUUCCUAGUAAGCGCGAGUCAUCAGCUCGUGCUGAUUACGUCCCUGCCCUUUGUACACACCGCCCGUCGCUCCUACCGAUUGUGUGAUCCGGUGAAUAAUUCGGACUGCAGCACUGCUUGGUCUCCAGGCUUUGCAGCGGAAAGUUUAGUGAACCUUAUCACUUAGAGGAAGGAGAAGUCGUAACA